GGCGGCGUAGCUCAGUAGGUAAGAGCACACGGCUCAUAAUCGUGGGGUCGUCGGUUCGAGUCCGACCGCCGCUACCA
Molecule: transfer RNA, 77 nt
Filed under: Ferrimicrobium acidiphilum
Lineage: Bacteria; Bacillati; Actinomycetota; Acidimicrobiia; Acidimicrobiales; Acidimicrobiaceae
Also listed under: 3 other names
Description: tRNA-Met
Rfam family: tRNA
About the family: Transfer RNA (tRNA) molecules are approximately 80 nucleotides in length. Their secondary structure includes four short double-helical elements and three loops (D, anti-codon, and T loops).
Source: RNAcentral